UGGUGAUGGUGGUGGUGGAGAUGAUGGUACUGGUGAUGGUGGUGAUGAUUGUGAUGGUGAUGAUGGUCAUGAUGAUUAUGGUGGUUAGUUGUAUUGCUUAUCUAUUGCUGUGUAAAUUGCCUGAAAACACGUAGCUAAAAAACACGAAUAUUUAUUAUCCUGCACAGUUGCUAAGGGACCCUCGAAACUUGAGAGCGGCUUAACUGAGUGGUUCUGGCUCACGGUCUCUGGUGAAGCUGCGGUCAGGCUGGCAGCAGCGGUUGCAUCUCCGAGCCUGACUGUGGCCUCUCAGAGGUGCCACCUCCAUCACCCCGAAGCAUCGCCAGGUGCAGCCCAUUCCAGGGGAGGAGACUCCACAGGGGCGUGCAUCCCUGGGGCCACCUCAGGACUCCCGAGCAGACACUGUGCUGUGUCCCUGAGCCUGGGCCUGGGCCUCCCACAGGCCUCCUGCAAUCUCUGCAUUCCCUGAAGAUGACUGCUCUGCUCCCAGGGCCCCUCCAUCCACCAGCGAGGAGGAAGGCAGAGGGGCCAGGCACGGAGCAGGGCUGGCAGGGACCCUGUACCUAGCACCUUGGAAAGGACAGAGACCCAGAUGGAGCCUGUCCCCUCCACACCUGGCCUGGGCACCGCCCCCCGCCCAGCUCUGCCAGAAUAAAUCCUCCCCUAACAACCUCCCGCUGCUGUCCCAGCAUCUGAAGAAUGAACACAGCUGCGCUACCCGAUGGGACAGUUUGUAAUAAAAUUGCUUCUAAAAACAUA
Callithrix jacchus (white-tufted-ear marmoset) is the source of this 759-nucleotide non-coding RNA. Lineage: Eukaryota; Metazoa; Chordata; Mammalia; Primates; Cebidae. The record is from RefSeq and is a predicted model, not a curated record.